GGACGAACGCUGGCGGCGUGCUUACCACAUGCAAGUCGAACGGUGAAGCGCCUUCCUUUUUGGUGGGUGUGGAUGAGUGGCGAACGGGUGAGUAACACGUGAGUAACCUGCCCCCUUCUUCUGGAUAACCGCAUGAAAGUGUGGCUAAUACGGGAUAUUCUGGGUCUGUCGCAUGAUGGGUCUGGGAAAGAUAUUGUUUCGGUGGGGGAUGGGCUCGCGGCCUAUCAGCUUGUUGGUGGGGUGAUGGCCUACCAAGGCGGUGACGGGUAGCCGGCCUGAGAGGGUGGACGGUCACACUGGGACUGAGACACGGCCCAGACUCCUACGGGAGGCAGCAGUGGGGAAUAUUGCACAAUGGGCGCAAGCCUGAUGCAGCGACGCCGCGUGAGGGAUGGAGGCCUUCGGGUUGUGAACCUCUUUCGCCAGUGAAGCAGGCCUGCCUCGUUUGUGGGUGGGUUGACGGUAGCUGGAUAAGAAGCGCCGGCUAACUACGUG
RNAcentral lists this ribosomal RNA (495 nucleotides) under uncultured bacterium. Its description in RNAcentral is "partial 16S ribosomal RNA". It matches the Rfam family "Bacterial small subunit ribosomal RNA", at positions 27 to 507 of the family's 1533-position model. The record is from RNAcentral.